ACUGAGGGUGUCACCCGGGACCGCGGCUCAGCUGAUGGAAUUUGAGAAAUGGCAGGUGUGAGGACUCUGACCUUCCCAUGAAGCAGGUCAUAAGACCCUCAUGUGAGAGAUGCCCUCUCUAUACCUGGAGAAAAGAAGCAGUCUUAUUUGUGAAGACAGAGAGACGCCAAGAGGAAUCUAAAUGAAUAGGCCUUGGAACCCCAGACGCACGGGCCUUGUGCUGUCGCUGCCGUGGCACCCCUUCUAGAAGGACUCUAUUCUCUAUAACAGAAGUGGGAGCCUUGGACAACUGAACGCCUAUCUCUAGCUCAAGAAAUGUCAGCUCUUUUUUUUUUUUUGAGACUGUCACCCAGUCGGGAGUACAGUGGCGCCAUCUUGGCUCUCUGUAACCUCCACCUCCUGGGUUCAAGCGAUUCUCCUGCCUCAGCCUCCUGAGUAGCUGGGGCUACAGGUAUGCACCAUCACUCCUGGCUAAUUGUUGUAUUUUUAGUAGAUAAUGGGGUUUCACCAUGUUGGCCAGGGUGGUCUCAAACUCCUGACCUCAGGUGAUCUGCCUGCCUCGGCCUCCCAAAGUGCUGGGA
RNAcentral lists this long non-coding RNA (581 nucleotides) under Homo sapiens (human). RNAcentral's name for it is "non-protein coding SEC24B-AS1:18". The record is from RNAcentral. Lineage: Eukaryota; Metazoa; Chordata; Mammalia; Primates; Hominidae.